UACGAAGGGGGCUAGCGUUGCUCGGAAUCACUGGGCGUAAAGCGCACGUAGGCGGAUUGCUAAGUCAGGGGUGAAAUCCCGGGGCUCAACCCCGGAACUGCCUUUGAUACUGGUAGUCUCGAGUCUGGAAGAGGUGAGUGGAAUUCCGAGUGUAGAGGUGAAAUUCGUAGAUAUUCGGAGGAACACCAGUGGCGAAGGCGGCUCACUGGUCCGGUACUGACGCUGAGGUGCGAAAGCGUGGGGAGCAAACAGG
RNAcentral lists this ribosomal RNA (253 nucleotides) under uncultured bacterium. Its description in RNAcentral is "partial 16S ribosomal RNA". It matches the Rfam family "Bacterial small subunit ribosomal RNA", at positions 524 to 776 of the family's 1533-position model. The record is from RNAcentral.